Molecule: long non-coding RNA, 511 nt
Organism: Rosa chinensis
Lineage: Eukaryota; Viridiplantae; Streptophyta; Magnoliopsida; Rosales; Rosaceae
Exons: 4
Source: RefSeq, a predicted model, not a curated record
AAGUAGAAACGAAACGAAACGAAACGAAACUCCCUCCUUCCAGAAUUCACAACCAUUGUUCAAAAGGGAUUGCCUCUUCCAGAAAACGAGAUCUCCACUACUUUUCCAUUUCGAGACAUCAGUCUCUCUCCUUGACCGACCAAGAUCAACAUCAGCAUCAGUCACGGCUUGGUACAUUGAUAGAAUAAGCACUGGUGAUUGUUUUGAGUGAGCGACAAGUUUAGUUUCCUGUUGUGACUGAACUGCUCUGCUUAUUUUGACCCUGCAACACUCAGAUCAAACUGCAAAAUUGUGCAGCUGACUCUCUUUGUCGAGAUUCUGAAGGAAAGAUACAGUCAAAGUUCAGUUCAUUGAUUUUUCAGUGAAGAAGAAAGAGGUGUAGCUUUUGGACUCUUUGCUGGAGCCUGGAGCCUGGAGAUAUCGAACCAACAACUUCCACGCGAAAUCCUCUUAGGUUUGGAAAGAAGAGGAAUGAAUUGUUCAAAGCAAAACCAAGCAAGAACCCGAAAAG